Long non-coding RNA from Carassius auratus (goldfish), 117 nucleotides. RefSeq lists it as uncharacterized. The record is from RefSeq and is a predicted model, not a curated record. NCBI's taxonomy places the organism in Eukaryota, Metazoa, Chordata, Actinopteri, Cypriniformes, Cyprinidae. The transcript has 3 exons.
AGACAAUGUCUUCAGGCAGAGUCCAGCAAAGCAGAUGGUUUAGGGAUGUGCUCCGGAAAGUUUUUCGGAAUGCGGCACACUUUGCCUGGCUAGACAUUGUGGCCAACUGGAAGAAUU